UUUUUUNNNNNNNNUCAGAUUGAACGCUGGCGGCAGGCCUAACACAUGCAAGUCGAACGGUAACAGGAAGCAGCUUGCUGCUUCGCUGACGAGUGGCGGACGGGUGAGUAAUGUCUGGGAAACUGCCUGAUGGAGGGGGAUAACUACUGGAAACGGUAGCUAAUACCGCAUAACGUCGCAAGACCAAAGAGGGGGACCUUCGGGCCUCUUGCCAUCGGAUGUGCCCAGAUGGGAUUAGCUAGUAGGUGGGGUAACGGCUCACCUAGGCGACGAUCCCUAGCUGGUCUGAGAGGAUGACCAGCCACACUGGAACUGAGACACGGUCCAGACUCCUACGGGAGGCAGCAGUGGGGAAUAUUGCACAAUGGGCGCAAGCCUGAUGCAGCCAUGCCGCGUGUAUGAAGAAGGCCUUCGGGUUGUAAAGUACUUUCAGCGGGGAGGAAGGCGAUAAGGUUAAUAACCUUGUCGAUUGACGUUACCCGCAGAAGAAGCACCGGCUAACUCCGUGCCAGCAGCCGCGGUAAUACGGAGGGUGCAAGCGUUAAUCGGAAUUACUGGGCGUAAAGCGCACGCAGGCGGUCUGUCAAGUCGGAUGUGAAAUCCCCGGGCUCAACCUGGGAACUGCAUUCGAAACUGGCAGGCUAGAGUCUUGUAGAGGGGGGUAGAAUUCCAGGUGUAGCGGUGAAAUGCGUAGAGAUCUGGAGGAAUACCGGUGGCGAAGGCGGCCCCCUGGACAAAGACUGACGNNNNNU
Molecule: ribosomal RNA, 752 nt
Filed under: Weissella cibaria
Lineage: Bacteria; Bacillati; Bacillota; Bacilli; Lactobacillales; Lactobacillaceae
Description: bacterial SSU rRNA
Rfam family: Bacterial small subunit ribosomal RNA
Source: RNAcentral